RNAcentral lists this ribosomal RNA (303 nucleotides) under uncultured bacterium. Its description in RNAcentral is "partial 16S ribosomal RNA". It matches the Rfam family "Bacterial small subunit ribosomal RNA", at positions 507 to 807 of the family's 1533-position model. The record is from RNAcentral.
AGCAGUAGCCGCGGGAAAACAGAGGGUGCGAGCGUUAAUCGGAUUUACUGGGCGUAAAGCGUGCGUAGGCGGCUUCUUAAGUCGGAUGUGAAAUCCCUGAGCUUAACUUAGGAAUUGCAUUCGAUACUGGGAAGCUAGAGUAUGGGAGAGGAUGGUAGAAUUCCAGGUGUAGCGGUGAAAUGCGUAGAGAUCUGGAGGAAUACCGAUGGCGAAGGCAGCCAUCUGGCCUAAUACUGACGCUGAGGUACGAAAGCAUGGGGAGCAAACAGGAUUAGAUACCCGUGUAGUCCCUGUCUCUUAUAC